UACGUAGGGCGCAAGCGUUGUCCGGAUUUAUUGGGCGUAAAGAGCGUGUAGGCGGCCAUACAGGUCAGCUGUGAAAACUCGAGGCUCAACCUCGAGACGUCGGUUGAAACCGUUUGGCUAGAGUCCGGAAGAGGAGAGUGGAAUUCCCGGUGUAGCGGUGAAAUGCGCAGAUAUCGGGAAGAACACCCGUGGCGAAGGCGGCUCUCUGGGACGGUACUGACGCUGAGACGCGAAAGCGUGGGGAGCGAACAGG
Molecule: ribosomal RNA, 253 nt
Filed under: uncultured bacterium
Lineage: Bacteria
Description: partial 16S ribosomal RNA
Rfam family: Bacterial small subunit ribosomal RNA
Source: RNAcentral